RNAcentral lists this ribosomal RNA (460 nucleotides) under uncultured bacterium. RNAcentral's name for it is "partial 16S ribosomal RNA". It matches the Rfam family "Bacterial small subunit ribosomal RNA", at positions 338 to 795 of the family's 1533-position model. The record is from RNAcentral.
CCUACGGGUGGCAGCAGUGAGGAAUAUUGGUCAAUGGACGAGAGUCUGAACCAGCCAAGUAGCGUGAAGGAUGACUGCCCUAUGGGUUGUAAACUUCUUUUAUAUGGGAAUAAAACGUUCCACGUGUGGGAUUUUGUAUGUACCAUAUGAAUAAGGAUCGGCUAACUCCGUGCCAGCAGCCGCGGUAAUACGGAGGAUCCGAGCGUUAUCUGGAUUUAUUGGGUUUAAAGGGAGCGUAGGUGGAUUGUUAAGUCAGUUGUGAAAGUUUGCGGCUCAACCGUAAAAUUGCAGUUGAAACUGGCAGUCUUGAGUACAGUAGAGGUGUGCGGAAUUCGUGGUGUAGCGGUGAAAUGCUUAGAUAUCACGAAGAACUCCGAUUGCGAAGGCAGUUCACUGGACUGCAACUGACACUGAGGCUCGAAAGUGUGGGUAUCAAACAGGAUUAGAUACCCGAGUAGUC